UACGUAGGGUGCGAGCGUUGUCCGGAAUUAUUGGGCGUAAAGAGCUCGUAGGCGGCCUGUCGCGUCGGAUGUGAAAACCCGCGGCUUAACUGCGGGACUGCAGUCGAUACGGGCAGGCUAGAGUUCGGUAGGGGAGACUGGAAUUCCUGGUGUAGCGGUGAAAUGCGCAGAUAUCAGGAGGAACACCGGUGGCGAAGGCGGGUCUCUGGGCCGACACUGACGCUGAGGAGCGAAAGCGUGGGGAGCGAACAGG
Molecule: ribosomal RNA, 253 nt
Filed under: uncultured bacterium
Lineage: Bacteria
Description: partial 16S ribosomal RNA
Rfam family: Bacterial small subunit ribosomal RNA
Source: RNAcentral